UACGUAGGGUGCAAGCGUUGUCCGGAAUUAUUGGGCGUAAAGAGCUCGUAGGCGGUCUGUCGCGUCUGCUGUGAAAACUCAGGGCUUAACCCUGAGCUUGCAGUGGGUACGGGCAGACUAGAGUGCGGUAGGGGAGACUGGAAUUCCUGGUGUAGCGGUGAAGUGCGCAGAUAUCAGGAGGAACACCGAUGGCGAAGGCAGGUCUCUGGGCCACUACUGACGCUGGAGAAGCGGAAGGCAUGGGGAGCGAACAGG
Molecule: ribosomal RNA, 255 nt
Filed under: uncultured bacterium
Lineage: Bacteria
Description: partial 16S ribosomal RNA
Rfam family: Bacterial small subunit ribosomal RNA
Source: RNAcentral